GAUGAACGCUGGCGGCGUGCCUAAUACAUGCAAGUCGAGCGAACGGACGAGAAGCUUGCUUCUCUGAUGUUAGCGGCGGACGGGUGAGUAACACGUGGAUAACCUACCUAUAAGACUGGGAUAACUUCGGGAAACCGGAGCUAAUACCGGAUAAUAUUUUGAACCGCAUGGUUCAAAAGUGAAAGGCGGUCUUGCUGUCACUUAUAGAUGGAUCCGCGCUGCAUUAGCUAGUUGGUAAGGUAACGGCUUACCAAGGCAACGAUGCAUAGCCGACCUGAGAGGGUGCUCGGCCACACUGGAACUGAGACACGGUCCAGACUCCUACGGGAGGCAGCAGUAGGGAAUCUUCCGCAAUGGGCGAAAGCCUGACGGAGCAACGCCGCGUGAGUGAUGAAGGUCUUCGGAUCGUAAAACUCUGUUAUUAGGGAAGAACAUAUGUGUAAGUAACUGUGCACAUCUUGACGGUACCUAAUCAGAAAGCCACGGCUAACUACGU
Molecule: ribosomal RNA, 496 nt
Filed under: uncultured bacterium
Lineage: Bacteria
Description: partial 16S ribosomal RNA
Rfam family: Bacterial small subunit ribosomal RNA
Source: RNAcentral